AAGAGUCGAAGAGAGAGUGAGAGUCAGAGAUGGAGGAGAGAGUUGAGAGAUGGAAAAAAGAGAGAGAGUUAGAGAGACUGAGAGAGUAGAGAAGAGCGUGAGAGAACAGGAGAGGAGAGACCGAGAGAGAGAGCUGUUGUGCGUUCUGAAUUUUUUUUCUUUUUUAAUGUUGCUGCGUUCUCAGGGCCGCUAUUCACUUAGAAUUAGGUAAAUAAUUUUUUUUAUGGUAGGGUUAUAAUACAAGUGGGCCUAAAUUUUGGGGCCCCCAAAAAUUGGGGGCCCUAGCCCCACCAAUUUAACAUAAGGGCAGGCCCUGGCUAAGAAGGCAAUGGUCAUU
Molecule: long non-coding RNA, 337 nt
Filed under: Salvia miltiorrhiza (redroot sage)
Lineage: Eukaryota; Viridiplantae; Streptophyta; Magnoliopsida; Lamiales; Lamiaceae
Description: long non-coding RNA (SMIL_LNC001139)
Source: RNAcentral